Molecule: non-coding RNA, 135 nt
Organism: Hordeum vulgare subsp. vulgare (domesticated barley)
Lineage: Eukaryota; Viridiplantae; Streptophyta; Magnoliopsida; Poales; Poaceae
Source: Rfam
CAACUACUCCCUCCGUCCCAAAUAACUUUCCUUGGAUUUGUCUAGAUACGGAUGCAUUUAGACACGUUCUAGAGUUAGAUACAUCCGUAUCUAGAAAAAUUUGAGACAAGAAAUUUGGGACAGAGGUAAUACUAU